AAUGAACGUUGGCGGCGUGGAUUAGGCAUGCAAGUCGAGCGAGAACCCGCAAGGGGGACAGCGGCGAACGGGGUAGGAAUACGUAGGUAACGUACCCUCGGGGCGAGGACAGCCACGGGAAACUGUGGGUAAUACUCGAUAAACUUCCCAAUCAUUAUGGAAGGGGAAGCAAUGGGUGUGAUUCCACCUGAGGAGCGGCUUACGCAGUAUCAGCUAGUUGGUGAGGUAACGGCUCACCAAGGCUACGACGCUUAGGGGGUGUGAGAGCAUGGCCCCCACCACUGGCACUGAGACACUGGCCAGACACCUACGGGUGGCUGCAGUCGAGAAUCUUCGGCAAUGGACGCAAGUCUGACCGAGCGACGCCGCGUGUGGGAUGAAGGCCUCGGUUGUAACCACUGUCAGAGGGGAUGAAGUGUACGAGAGUUAUCUCUUGUAUUUGACAGAGCCUCAGAGGAAGCACGGGCUAAGUUCGUGCCAGCAGCCGCGGUAAU
This 494-nucleotide ribosomal RNA is filed under the name uncultured bacterium. Its description in RNAcentral is "bacterial SSU rRNA". It matches the Rfam family "Bacterial small subunit ribosomal RNA", at positions 29 to 524 of the family's 1533-position model. The record is from RNAcentral.